Molecule: long non-coding RNA, 1551 nt
Organism: Ictalurus punctatus (channel catfish)
Lineage: Eukaryota; Metazoa; Chordata; Actinopteri; Siluriformes; Ictaluridae
Source: Ensembl
CUCAAAUAUGAAACAUUAAACUUUGACAUGCAGUCAAUACUUGUCAAUACUGUUGCUGUGCAACAGACAUGUUUUUAACAAGAACACACUUUCAAAGAAAAUGACUUCUAGCUUGAAGACAGCGAAGACAGAUCCGUGCUUACCGCCACCUCUGGUGAAAGCUACCGCAUGCCACUGUCCACAGGCAUCCAGUCUUCAGGAUGCUCCUUCUACAGCUUCCACAAAAGCUCUAUCUGGAAAAAGAAUGACACUCGUAGAGCAGCUUAAAGUACAGAAGAACACUUCUGGGAAUGCUCAGGUGGAGCACCUCCACAAGCUCCGGGCUCCUACUCCACCCACUGUCCCCAGAAGAGGACGAAGGCUGCUGCCAGCCCAGCAGGAGAGUCUAGAGAGUAUAGCGGCUCAUCAGCCCGACAUCAACACAUCAUGCGGGACUCGGUGGGUGACUGAGUAUGUAGAAAACUUUGGUUUGCCACAACCUGUCCGCGUACCUCCGGUGAAAACUGCAAACUGGAAGGCCUCGAUCUUUUAUAGCACACAUAACCAUCAUUCUGCAGACAAGUGUCACCACACCGAAUACCAGGCCCUCAACAGUCCUGAGACAGAUCAGUGCUUACCGCCACCUCUGGUGAAAGCUACCGCAUGCCACUGUCCACAGGCAUCCAGUCUUCAGGAUGCUCCUUCUACAGCUUCCACAAAAGCUCUACCUGAAAAAAGAAUGACACUCGUAGAGCAGCUUAAAGUACAGAAGAACACUUCUGGGAAUGCUCAGGUGGAGCACCUCCACAAGCUCCGGGCUCCUACUCCACCCACUGUCCCCAGAAGAGGACGAAGGCUGCUGCCAGCCCAGCAGGAGAGUCUAGAGAGUAUAGCGGCUCAUCAGCCCGACAUCAACACAUCAUGCGGGACUCGGUGGGUGACUGAGUAUGUGGAAAACUUUGGUUUGUCGCAACCUGUCCAUUUACCUUGUGCUUCGAAAAAAUCUGCACGCCGUUUGGUCUCGACCUUUCGGAGAAUACCUAACCCUCAUUUUGCAGACAAGUAUCAACGCUCUGAAUACCAGGCCAUCUAUGGUCCUGAGAUUCGCACUGCACAAUUCAACCUUACUCGGUACCGACAGCUCCAUGGAACAGCUUAAAAAGGCAUUUUAUCAGAUACCUUAUCAGGUUGCUCCACCAUAAAACGACGUGCUGACGUGGUGCAUGGGGAUUGGAGAGAAGAAGAUUGUGCGUCUUUUAAAAAGGAGGAAGAACGUUAUGUCGGCAGGAAUACGGACAUGUGAUGUGUCUGUGAUUGCGCUGGUACGAUUGAGUAGCGAAUGUUUCCUUGGUGUUUGAGUGAAAUCGCUUGCUUGUUGCUAGUGUACGCCCUAUUUGUAAAUAGAUCUUCUAUUGUAAAUAUUUCUUCUCUAACUAUCACGAAAGCUGUAGGGGUUGGGUGCCGUUUAUUUUUUUACUUUCUUUCUUACAAUCAUUAAAUUUGUAAGAUAUCGAAGACUUGAAAGACACGUGUGUCAACCUCAUUAUUUCUCAUUAUUUUCUUAUGAUUUUU